AGAAAAUUGUAUUAGUAUCCAACCAUAAAACUGAAAAAAAGAUUCAUUUGAAAAUGUUCCAAAUUUACAUACCUACAGAACUGAAUUAUAACAAACAAAAAAUCACACUGCUUCUGCUGUAUAUGCAGAGGAAUCUAUGGUCUUUAUUCUCUAGACAUUGAGGUGGUUAUAAAGAUAAAUUAUAAGUGAUAGCAACAGAGGGUUCACAUUUUGUGCACUCCUCAGGCCACUUUGCUGUCAGAUGACAUCUUCACUCUUCCUCUUCUAUCUUCUUGCCAUGAAACUCCCGGCUCUUUGCUCGGAGCUUGUUGACCUGUGACUCUGCAAUGUCAGCCCGCUCCUCGGCUUCCUCCAGCUCAUGCUGGAUCUUGCGGAACUUGGUGAGGUUGACAUUGGACAGCUCCUCAGCCUCCUCAGCUUGUCUCUUGUAGGAUUUCACCUUCAUCUGCAGUUUGUCCACCAGAUCCUGGAGUCUAAGAAUGUUCUUGCGAUCUUCCUCAGACUGGUAUGUCAGCUCCUUCACCCUCCUCUCGUACUUGCGCACACCCUUCACGGCUUCAGCGCUGCGCUUCUGCUCAGCAUCAACCUCCCCUUCCAGCUCCCGCAC
This 607-nucleotide long non-coding RNA is filed under the name Gallus gallus (chicken). The record is from RNAcentral. Lineage: Eukaryota; Metazoa; Chordata; Aves; Galliformes; Phasianidae.